GUGCUCACUUCGGCAGCACAUAUACUGAAAUUGGAAUGAUACAGAGAAGAUUAGCAUGGCCCCUACACAAGGAUGACACAACUUUGUGAAGUAUUCCAUAUUUUU
This 105-nucleotide small nuclear RNA is filed under the name Myotis davidii. The record is from RNAcentral. Lineage: Eukaryota; Metazoa; Chordata; Mammalia; Chiroptera; Vespertilionidae.